AUCCAGCCGACGAGUCCCAAAUAGGACGAAACACGCGUCCUGGAU
Non-coding RNA from Schistosoma curassoni, 45 nucleotides. The record is from Rfam. NCBI's taxonomy places the organism in Eukaryota, Metazoa, Platyhelminthes, Trematoda, Strigeidida, Schistosomatidae.